Molecule: long non-coding RNA, 961 nt
Filed under: Zostera marina
Lineage: Eukaryota; Viridiplantae; Streptophyta; Magnoliopsida; Alismatales; Zosteraceae
Description: long non-coding RNA (ZMAR_LNC003846)
Source: RNAcentral
CCCAAAAAUUUAAUUUUCUGUAAAAUUACAACAUGAACUAGUCACUAGUGUUUUAGAAAUUUUAUUAAUCAACAAAAUUUAUUCGUAUAGUUAGUUAACAGAAUUUUCAUUUGGUUCAAAAACAUGAAAACAAAUUUCAUCAAAUGCAUCACAGAGGUAGGACAAUGAACCAAGGAAGGACAAUGUAACACGGAAAAAAUCAGAAAGUAUAAUUUAACCUUGAAAUCAAGAAAGUAUAAUUUAACAGUACUAAGAAAAUUAACAGUAACAAAGAUAAUUUUAAUUGUUUUACAGUUGACAAAGUGCAAAACAAUCACCAAAAUGAGUUAUUAGAAUAACUCCAAUUUUCAGAUACAUUUCAAGCUCUAACACAGCAGCACUACCGCCUUCUUUUAACACUAAUCAAUACCUUAAUCGAUAUCAUUUUCGCAAAAAAAAAAAACUGAAAUCCAAAAUUUCAUAGCGUAAACAAAAAUAUUCUCAGCCAUCAGGCAUCCGAACGUAAUCAAAGGUACAAAAAUCAAUGAUUUAGCAAAAAAAAUACAGAAAAUAAUAAAGGAGGCUAAAAACAAAGCAGAGAUGAUUUCAGAAAAUUAAAACAAUGAAUCCAGGUCUUUGUCGAUUUUUGUAAAUCACAAACGUUGAACAGAAGAAGAAGAGAGUAAAUUAAAACAAUGAAAUACCUGUAUUGAAGAUUGGGGAGGCGGAGAUAAUUUCACUGCUGCAAGCCGGAGAAGCGUCGACAAGAAGUGUGGAUCUGAUAUAUAUAGGGAAAAGGAUUCCCUGUUUUGCGGAGACCGCUCAUACCGAACGCAAUGUUGGCAUCUGUAGAGUACCAACGGAUUUGGCUUUUCGCACAACCGCUGCUCGAGUUAUGCAUCUGGAUGUUGAAGAGUGGAGGCCGAUUGUUAUUUGAACACUGAACAAGAAAGAAAAGUUUAGGGUUUAUAUAUUAGUUAAG